CAGCCGUAAACUAUGCGCGUUAGGUGUACUGGUGACCACGAGUCACCGGGGUGCCGAAGGGAAACCGUGAAACGUGCCGCCUGGGAAGUACGGUCGCAAGGCUGAAACUUAAAGGAAUUGGCGGGGGAGCACCACAACGGGUGGAGCGUGCGGUUUAAUUGGACUCAACGCCGGGAAGCUCACCGGAUAAGACAGCGGAAUGAUUGCCGGGCUGAAGACCCUGCAUGACCAGCUGAGAGGAGGUGCAUGGCGUAGUCCGUG
This 261-nucleotide ribosomal RNA is filed under the name uncultured archaeon. RNAcentral describes it as "partial 16S ribosomal RNA". It matches the Rfam family "Archaeal small subunit ribosomal RNA", at positions 748 to 1013 of the family's 1478-position model. The record is from RNAcentral.